RNAcentral lists this long non-coding RNA (342 nucleotides) under Elaeis guineensis (African oil palm). RNAcentral's name for it is "long non-coding RNA (EGUI_LNC079464)". Lineage: Eukaryota; Viridiplantae; Streptophyta; Magnoliopsida; Arecales; Arecaceae. The record is from RNAcentral.
UCCUUUCUCUCUCUUUUCUCUCUCCUCUCUCUACCUUCUCUCUCUAUAUUUUCUCUCUCUAAAUUCUCUCGCUAGACUUUUCUCUCUCUUUACGGAUUUUGUCUCUCUAGGAUCUUUUCUUCCUCUCUGAUUGCAUCAUGAACCCUAGGAUAAACUUGAAGAUGAAAAUAAGAUGAUUUGAGAUUGCUCCGAAAUUCGUGCGGUAGAUCUAAUCCCAGCUGAUCCUAUUCGAAAUUGUAACACUUGAUUCAUUUUAAGUCAUCCUGAUAGGACCUCUGAUAGUCUCGACCAUGAUUGCCUCAUCCGAAGGAUACGAAGAUUUCUCUCUCCACUUUCUCUCUC